This 441-nucleotide ribosomal RNA is filed under the name uncultured bacterium. RNAcentral's name for it is "bacterial SSU rRNA". It matches the Rfam family "Bacterial small subunit ribosomal RNA", at positions 29 to 517 of the family's 1533-position model. The record is from RNAcentral.
AGCGAACGCUGGCGGCAGGCUUAACACAUGCAAGUCGAGCGCCCCGCAAGGGGAGCGGCAGACGGGUGAGUAACACGUGGGAACGUGCCUUUUGGUUCGGAACAACCCAGGGAAACUUGGGCUAAUACCGGAUAAGCCCUUACGGGGAAAGAUUUAUCGCCAAAAGAUCGGCCCGCGUCUGAUUAGCUAGUUGGUGAGGUAACGGCUCACCAAGGCGACGAUCAGUAGCUGGUCUGAGAGGAUGAUCAGCCACAUUGGGACUGAGACACGGCCCAAACUCCUACGGGAGGCAGCAGUGGGGAAUCUUGGACAAUGGGCGCAAGCCUGAUCCAGCCAUGCCGCGUGAGUGAUGAAGGCCUUAGGGUUGUAAAGCUCUUUCAGCGGGGAAGAUAAUGACGGUACCCGCAGAAGAAGCCCCGGCUAACUUCGUGCCAGCCGCCG